GUUUCUGGGUCUUGUAAUGGUCGGAGCUGCAGGCGGAGAAGUCCGGAGAAGCCCUCGGGGCGGCGCGGCCGGGCUUGAGCCACGACGAAUAACGGGCGAGGGGCGAAGAUGGAGCAAAAAGGAAUCCUGGCCUUUUCCAGUAAGCUGGGCUUUGUUGGGGCCAGCUCAGUAAUGACUCCUCAUGGCUAUCCCAUUACUCCAACAAUUCCCUGACUUCAUUAGCUACAUCUUCUCAGAACAAAAAAGUGAAAGGCCAGCAGCCUCAGACAAGCCAAAGUCCUUUCCUUCUGAAUGCGCAGUCUUGUGAACUCCACUGUCUUCAAAAACUCGGCGGUUGGUGGCAGCUCUCUGAAGACCUGGGAGAGGAGGUGGUACUGCUCUGACACUGUCCUUCGAAGAUCCGAAGGCUUACCACUGGAACCCCAAAAGCAGUAUGAGAGCUUCCCACAUGCCCAUAGCAGCACCCAGCAGGCUGCCAUGAUCAUGCGGCGCCUUUCCUGAUGGUUCUGGAUGUACCUGAGCACCCAGCAGCACACGUGCGGUGGCCAUGCCAGGCCCAGUCAAGCCUACCACGAGGUCGUCAUUCUCGCCCAACAGCCAUCUCAGCAGGAUGGGGAGUCCAGGGGCCAGCUGGUCCCACUGCUGGAGCAGGUCACACAACACAGCCACGGCC
Molecule: long non-coding RNA, 673 nt
Organism: Trichechus manatus latirostris (Florida manatee)
Lineage: Eukaryota; Metazoa; Chordata; Mammalia; Sirenia; Trichechidae
Exons: 5
Source: RefSeq, a predicted model, not a curated record